RNAcentral lists this transfer RNA (75 nucleotides) under Dongia rigui. RNAcentral's name for it is "tRNA-Lys". It matches the Rfam family "tRNA". Rfam says of the family: Transfer RNA (tRNA) molecules are approximately 80 nucleotides in length. Their secondary structure includes four short double-helical elements and three loops (D, anti-codon, and T loops). Further hydrogen bonds mediate the characteristic L-shaped molecular structure. tRNAs have two regions of fundamental functional importance: the anti-codon, which is responsible for specific mRNA codon recognition, and the 3' end, to which the tRNAs corresponding amino acid is attached (by aminoacyl-tRNA synthetases). tRNAs cope with the degeneracy of the genetic code in two manners: having more than one tRNA (with a specific anti-codon) for a particular amino acid; and 'wobble' base-pairing, i.e. permitting non-standard base-pairing at the 3rd anti-codon position. RNAcentral also lists the same sequence under 2 other names. Lineage: Bacteria; Pseudomonadati; Pseudomonadota; Alphaproteobacteria; Rhodospirillales; Dongiaceae. The record is from RNAcentral.
GGGCCGGUAGCUCAGCGGUAGAGCAUCUGACUUUUAAUCAGAGGGUCGCGGGUUCGAACCCCGCCCGGCUCACCA